This 496-nucleotide ribosomal RNA is filed under the name uncultured bacterium. RNAcentral describes it as "partial 16S ribosomal RNA". It matches the Rfam family "Bacterial small subunit ribosomal RNA", at positions 29 to 507 of the family's 1533-position model. The record is from RNAcentral.
AUGAACGCUGGCGGCGUGCCUAAUACAUGCAAGUCGAGCGCACAGAUGAGGAGCUUGCUCCUCUGACGUUAGCGGCGGACGGGUGAGUAACACGUGGAUAACCUACCUAUAAGACUGGGAUAACUUCGGGAAACCGGAGCUAAUACCGGAUAAUAUAUUGAACCGCAUGGUUCAAAAGUGAAAGACGGUUUUGCUGUCACUUAUAGAUGGAUCCGCGCCGCAUUAGCUAGUUGGUAAGGUAACGGCUUACCAAGGCAACGAUGCGUAGCCGACCUGAGAGGGUGAUCGGCCACACUGGAACUGAGACACGGUCCAGACUCCUACGGGAGGCAGCAGUAGGGAAUCUUCCGCAAUGGGCGAAAGCCUGACGGAGCAACGCCGCGUGAGUGAUGAAGGUCUUCGGAUCGUAAAACUCUGUUAUUAGGGAAGAACAAAUGUGUAAGUAACUAUGCACGUCUUGACGGUACCUAAUCAGAAAGCCACGGCUAACUACGUG